CCUACGGGGGGCUGCAGUAGGGAAUAUUGCUCAAUGGGGGGAACCCUGAAGCAGCAACGCCGCGUGGAGGAUGAAGGUUUUCGGAUUGGAAACUCCUUUUUUUAGAGAAGAUAAUGACGGUAUCUAACGAAUAAGCACCGGCUAACUACGUGCCAGCAGCCGCGGUAAUACGGAGGGGGCAAGCGUUACUCGGAAUCACUGGGCGUAAAGAGCGCGUAGGCGGGAUAGCAAGUCAGAUGUGAAAGACUAUGGCUUAACCGUAGAACUGCAUUUGAAACUGGUAUUCUAGAGUAUGGGAGAGGUAGGUGGAAUGCGUGGUGUAGGGGUGAAAUGCGUAGAUAUCAAGAGGAAUACUGAUUGCGAAGGCGGCCUGCUAGAACGUAACUGACGCUGAUGCGCGAAAGCGUGGGGAGCAAACAGGAUUAGAUACCCCUGUAGUC
Molecule: ribosomal RNA, 440 nt
Filed under: uncultured bacterium
Lineage: Bacteria
Description: partial 16S ribosomal RNA
Rfam family: Bacterial small subunit ribosomal RNA
Source: RNAcentral